Varanus komodoensis (Komodo dragon) is the source of this 402-nucleotide long non-coding RNA. RefSeq lists it as uncharacterized. NCBI's taxonomy places the organism in Eukaryota, Metazoa, Chordata, Lepidosauria, Squamata, Varanidae. The record is from RefSeq and is a predicted model, not a curated record. The transcript is spliced from 3 exons.
UGUGACUAAUUCUCCAUCAGUUUUCCCUAAAAGUCCCUGUAGCAUAGCCUUCUCAGCUUCGAACUCCUCAUAUUUCGGCACCACUGAAAAGGUCAUUGUUCUUUCCCCACACUGGUUUGUUUUUGGUACUGGAGUCAGCUGGAUAGAUUCCACAGCUCGUUGAAGUGUUUGUGUUAUCAGGGGCAUGAAACAUGGCAGCAGUCGUCCCCCCCGCAACUGCCAUCUCCAUUUCAACAAGUCUCCACCAAACAACUCUCCCCACCAGGAGGAUCACACUUUUUCGUACAGAAAUUGUGUAGAGGAGCACAAUCAGGGCAGUGGGCACAAGAACAGCUCUCGCAUCAGCAAGAGCACGUGCAAAACCGGCACAUCCAAGAGCCAGGCAGUGAGAGCCAAGCAGUG